Sinocyclocheilus grahami is the source of this 483-nucleotide long non-coding RNA. RefSeq lists it as uncharacterized. The transcript is spliced from 3 exons. The record is from RefSeq and is a predicted model, not a curated record. NCBI's taxonomy places the organism in Eukaryota, Metazoa, Chordata, Actinopteri, Cypriniformes, Cyprinidae.
CUGUGCUGAUGGAAACUGCACCCUCUGAAUUGAAUUCACCCGAUAGUUGAUCUCUUUCUUUCUUCCUCAGAUACUGUCGGUUCCUCACCGUAGGCUGGUGUGCUGCAGUCGACUCUAUGAGGUCACCGAUGUGAAUAAACCUCAGAAACAGGCCUCACAUCAGAGGGAGGUGUUCCUCUUCAAUGACCUGAUAGUGAUCCUCAAACUAUGCCCUAAGAAGAAGAGUGCUGCCACAUACACGUUCUGCAAGGCCAUGGGCUUACUGGGAAUGCAGUUUCAUCUGUUUGAGAAUGAGUAUUACCCUCAUGGAAUCACGAUAUUGUCUCCGUUCUCGUCAGAGAAGAAGCAGGUGGUGAGUUUCUGUUCUCAGAGCGCCGAGGAGCUGCUCAAGUUUGUAGAGGACCUGAGAGAGAGCAUCGCAGAGGUGGCAGAGAUGGAACAAAUACGGAUUGACUGUGAGUGUCUUUGCCUGUAACUGUGAGA